Podarcis lilfordi (Lilford's wall lizard) is the source of this 70-nucleotide non-coding RNA. The record is from the annotation of a GenBank genome assembly. NCBI's taxonomy places the organism in Eukaryota, Metazoa, Chordata, Lepidosauria, Squamata, Lacertidae.
GGAUAGUUCAGUUGUUUAGAGCAUUGUGCUGAUAAUACCAAGGUUGUAGGUUCGAUCCCCGCAUGGGACA